RNAcentral lists this unclassified non-coding RNA (218 nucleotides) under uncultured Thelephoraceae. RNAcentral describes it as "sequence contains ITS2". The record is from RNAcentral. Lineage: Eukaryota; Fungi; Basidiomycota; Agaricomycetes; Thelephorales; Thelephoraceae.
ACACCUCAACUCUCAUGGUUUGCCAUGAUGAGCUUGGACUUUGGGGGUCUUGCUGGCCUGCGGUCAGCUCCUCUCAAAUGAAUCAGCUUGCCAGUGUUUGGUGGCAUCACAGGUGUGAUAACUAUCUACGCUUGUGGUUUUCCACCAGGUAACCUUCAGCGAUGGAGGUUCACUGGAGCUCAUAAAUGUCUCUCCCCAGUGAAGACAGCUUUGUGAAU